This 492-nucleotide ribosomal RNA is filed under the name uncultured bacterium. RNAcentral describes it as "partial 16S ribosomal RNA". It matches the Rfam family "Bacterial small subunit ribosomal RNA", at positions 29 to 507 of the family's 1533-position model. The record is from RNAcentral.
AGUGAACGCUGGCGGUAGGCCUAACACAUGCAAGUCGAACGGCCGCACAGUAAGAGCUUGCUCUUACGGGUGGCGAGUGGCGGACGGGUGAGGAAUACAUCGGCAUCUACUUUUUCGUGGGGGAUAACGUAGGGAAACUUACGCUAAUACCGCAUACGUCCUACGGGUGAAAGCAGGGGAUCUUCGGACCUUGCGCGAUUGAAUGAGCCGAUGUCGGAUUAGCUAGUUGGCGGGGUAAAGGCCCACCAAGGCGACGAUCCGUAGCUGGUCUGAGAGGAUGAUCAGCCACACUGGAACUGAGACACGGUCCAGACUCCUACGGGAGGCAGCAGUGGGGAAUAUUGGACAAUGGGCGCAAGCCUGAUCCAGCCAUACCGCGUGGGUGAAGAAGGCCUUCGGGUUGUAAAGCCCUUUUGUUGGGAAAGAAAAGCAGCAGGUGAAUACCCCGCUGUUCUGACGGUACCCAAAGAAUAAGCACCGGCUAACUUCGUG